RNAcentral lists this long non-coding RNA (435 nucleotides) under Cyanistes caeruleus (blue tit). RNAcentral describes it as "lncRNA (ENSCCEG00000010638.1)". Lineage: Eukaryota; Metazoa; Chordata; Aves; Passeriformes; Paridae. The record is from RNAcentral.
GUUUGGUAUUUGUGGUUCAUUAAUAUAUUUCACAAGCUCAGAACAGUCUUAAGAGGGGGAAGCUCUUCUCCAGGAUGAUGGAUAUAUCCAAGCAAGCAAGUCCCGUACGUUUUACUGUCAGGUAAACAGCUUUUCUGCAAAGCACAAAGUGAAGCUUUACAGGGAUGUCACCAUGGCCUGGGACCAAUUCCUGCCUAAUUAGUGUGCACAGAAACAGCUUUCCUGGAAACACCAUUAUCUGCAUGGCUCUGGUUCCUGCUGCCUUCCCCCAGGCAGUGCCUUUAAAGUGGGCAGAAGUGAAAUUUUUCUUCCUUGAAGGUGACUAUUUUUGCAAACAUUUGCUGCUGGCUGAGUUGGCUUUGAUGCAGGUGUGGCCACUGCUGAGCUGGGUGUGAUAUUUGGGCACGGAACCCGGUGCUGGCAGCAGCUGCACAA